This 345-nucleotide unclassified non-coding RNA is filed under the name Hevea brasiliensis (rubber tree). The record is from RNAcentral. Lineage: Eukaryota; Viridiplantae; Streptophyta; Magnoliopsida; Malpighiales; Euphorbiaceae.
GCGCCCAAAAACUCAUGUAACAACUAAAACAGUUACAUUCAAACAUUGGAUCAUGAUUCCCGCCGCCGCCUUCAUCGCCAUGAUGAUCAUCAUCAGUGGGAAGAGUAGUUUUCUGGUGACCGGUGAAGCUGGUGGAUUUGGAGUUGGAGGUUCCGCAGCAGGAGAUAAGGUAAGCUAAGACUUGUUUGUCUUCAUCGGAGAGAGCAGCUGCAAGGGUGAGAAUUGUUGCCGGAAGCAGCGAUAAGUGGUGGGAGACGGACGGCGUAGAUGGAUGAACUUUGCCUUUCUUAUAGAGAUUCUUCAUGGUUUUUGACUGGGGAAUGGUCUUGCAAUGCUCUGGUUCUC